This 448-nucleotide ribosomal RNA is filed under the name uncultured bacterium. RNAcentral describes it as "partial 16S ribosomal RNA". It matches the Rfam family "Bacterial small subunit ribosomal RNA", at positions 329 to 793 of the family's 1533-position model. The record is from RNAcentral.
GGCCAGACUCCUACGGGAGGCAGCAGUGGGGGAUAUUGCACAAUGGGGGGAACCCUGAUGCAGCGACGCCGCGUGGGUGAAGAAGCGCCUCGGCGCGUAAAGCCCUCUCGGCAGGGAAGAAGGAGGACGGUACCUGACUAAGAAGCCCCGGCUAACUACGUGCCAGCAGCCGCGGUAAUACGUAGGGGGCAAGCGUUAUCCGGAUUUACUGGGUGUAAAGGGGGCGCAGACGGAAGCGCAAGCCAGGAGUGAAAGCCCGAGGCCCAACCCCGGGACUGCUCUUGGAACUGCGCGCCUGGAGUGCAGGAGGGGAAGGCGGAAUUCCUGGUGUAGCGGUGAAAUGCGUAGAUAUCAGGAGGAACACCGGUGGCGAAGGCGGCCUGCUGGACUGCGACUGACGUUGAGGCCCGAAAGCGUGGGGAGCAAACAGGAUUAGAUACCCCAGUAC